Pseudopipra pipra is the source of this 453-nucleotide long non-coding RNA. RefSeq lists it as uncharacterized. The transcript has 2 exons. Lineage: Eukaryota; Metazoa; Chordata; Aves; Passeriformes; Pipridae. The record is from RefSeq and is a predicted model, not a curated record.
UGUAUGAUCAUCUAGUUCCAACUCCCCCAUCAUAGGUAGGGACACCUUCUACCACACCAGGUUGCUCAGAGCCCCAUCCAACCAGGCCUUGAACACUUCCAGGGAUGGGGCAUCCACAACUUCUCUAGACAACCUGUGCCAGUGCCUCAUCACCCUCACGGUGGCAAAGACACGGUGCUUCUUUUAAAAGAGUGAGAUCCCAGGGACUAAAAAAAUUAGGAGUGACUGCACAGAAAAAGUAGAAAAUCACAGUGUCAUUAAGGUUGGAAAAAACCUCUAAGAUCAUCGAGUACAACCAUUAACCCAGCACUGACAAGUCCGCCACUCAACCAUGUCUCUAAGCACCACAUCUACCCAUAUUUUGAACACUUCCAGAAACACCGACUGCAGCACUUCCCUGUGUAGCCAGUUCCAAUGCUUGACUACCCUUUCAAUGAAGAAAUUUUUCCUAAA